This 27-nucleotide non-coding RNA is filed under the name Rattus norvegicus (Norway rat). Lineage: Eukaryota; Metazoa; Chordata; Mammalia; Rodentia; Muridae. The record is from RNAcentral.
UGUCGUUUGCAAUGGCUGAGCCUAGAG